RNAcentral lists this ribosomal RNA (497 nucleotides) under uncultured bacterium. RNAcentral's name for it is "partial 16S ribosomal RNA". It matches the Rfam family "Bacterial small subunit ribosomal RNA", at positions 28 to 507 of the family's 1533-position model. The record is from RNAcentral.
GAUGAACGCUGGCGGCGUGCCUAAUACAUGCAAGUCGAGCGAACGGACGAGAAGCUUGCUUUUCUGAUGUUAGCGGCGGACGGGUGAGUAACACGUGGAUAACCUACCUAUAAGACUGGGAUAACUUCGGGAAACCGGAGCUAAUACCGGAUAAUAUUUUGAACCGCAUGGUUCAAAAGUGAAAGACGGUCUUGCUGUCACUUAUAGAUGGAUCCGCGCUGCAUUAGCUAGUUGGUAAGGUAACGGCUUACCAAGGCAACGAUGCAUAGCCGACCUGAGAGGGUGAUCGGCCACACUGGAACUGAGACACGGUCCAGACUCCUACGGGAGGCAGCAGUAGGGAAUCUUCCGCAAUGGGCGAAAGCCUGACGGAGCAACGCCGCGUGAGUGAUGAAGGUCUUCGGAUCGUAAAACUCUGUUAUUAGGGAAGAACAUAUGUGUAAGUAACUGUGCACAUCUUGGCGGUACCUAAUCAGAAAGCCACGGCUAACUACGUG